RNAcentral lists this ribosomal RNA (292 nucleotides) under uncultured bacterium. RNAcentral's name for it is "partial 16S ribosomal RNA". The record is from RNAcentral.
GGACUACCGGGGUAUCUAAUCCCGUUCGCUCCCCUGGCUUUCGCGCUUUAGCGUCAGUAUCAGCCCAGUGACCCGCCUUCGCAUCUGGUGUUCCUCCCAAUAUCUACGCAUUUCACCGCUACACUGGGAAUUCCAGUCACCUCUUCUGUACUCUAGUCUGACAGUAUCAAAUGCAGUUCCCAAGUUGAGCCCGGGGCUUUCACAUCUGACUUUUCAAACCGCCUACACGCGCUUUACGCCCAGUAAUUCCGAACAACGCUUGCCCCCUACGUAUUACCGCGGCUGCUGGCAC